GAUGAAGAACGCAGCGAAAUGCGAUAAGUAAUGUGAAUUGUAGAAUUCCGUGAAUCAUCGAAUCUUUGAACGCACAUUGCGCCCUCUGGUAUUCCGGGGGGCAUGCCUGUCCGAGCGUCAUUUGCAACCCUCAAGCCCGGCUUGUGUGAUGGGUGCCGUCCCCUACGGGACGCGCCCCGAAGGCAAUGGCGGCGUCGCGGUUAUCCGAUCAGCCAAAGUGUAUGGGGCUUUGUCACUCACUUUACGGCCCGGACCGGCGCCAGUCCGAAUCAAUCUUUUUUCUAAAGUUGACCUCGGAUCAGGUAGGGAUACCCGCUGAACUUAAGCAUAUCAAUAAGCGGAGGA
RNAcentral lists this unclassified non-coding RNA (345 nucleotides) under soil metagenome. Its description in RNAcentral is "partial contains 5.8S ribosomal RNA, internal transcribed spacer 2, and large subunit ribosomal RNA". The stretch from base 1 to 120 matches the Rfam family "5.8S ribosomal RNA", at positions 35 to 154 of the family's 154-position model. The record is from RNAcentral.